RNAcentral lists this ribosomal RNA (724 nucleotides) under Mycobacterium sp. KAR14. RNAcentral's name for it is "bacterial SSU rRNA". It matches the Rfam family "Bacterial small subunit ribosomal RNA", at positions 57 to 798 of the family's 1533-position model. The record is from RNAcentral. Lineage: Bacteria; Bacillati; Actinomycetota; Actinomycetes; Mycobacteriales; Mycobacteriaceae.
GCAAGUCGAACGGUAAGGCCUUUCGGGGUACACGAGUGGCGAACGGGUGAGUAACACGUGGGUGAUCUGCCCUGCACUUCGGGAUAAGCCUGGGAAACUGGGUCUAAUACCGGAUAUGACUACGAAUCGCAUGGUUUGUGGUGGAAAGCUUUUGCGGUGUGGGAUGGGCCCGCGGCCUAUCAGCUUGUUGGUGGGGUGAUGGCCUACCAAGGCGACGACGGGUAGCCGGCCUGAGAGGGUGUCCGGCCACACUGGGACUGAGAUACGGCCCAGACUCCUACGGGAGGCAGCAGUGGGGAAUAUUGCACAAUGGGCGCAAGCCUGAUGCAGCGACGCCGCGUGAGGGAUGACGGCCUUCGGGUUGUAAACCUCUUUCAGUAUCGACGAAGCGCAAGUGACGGUAGGUACAGAAGAAGGACCGGCCAACUACGUGCCAGCAGCCGCGGUAAUACGUAGGGUCCGAGCGUUGUCCGGAAUUACUGGGCGUAAAGAGCUCGUAGGUGGUUUGUCGCGUUGUUCGUGAAAACUCACAGCUCAACUGUGGGCGUGCGGGCGAUACGGGCAGACUGGAGUACUGCAGGGGAGACUGGAAUUCCUGGUGUAGCGGUGGAAUGCGCAGAUAUCAGGAGGAACACCGGUGGCCAAUGCGGGUCUCUGGGCAGUAACUGACGCUGAGCAGCGAAAGCGUGGGGAGCGAACAGGAUUAGAUACCCUGGUAGUCCAC